CGGACAGCCCUGGAGACAACAAUCCUCUAGCUUCCCCCAGAACAGGCGCUGCAUGGGCAGAGGCAGCACAAGCCCCCCCACACACACACACACACCGUACCUCACCACCAGGCCUGCCUCCACCCUGCCCUGGAGCGACCCCCUCUCAGAGUGGGAGGGGAAUUCAGUCUUCAGCUUCCCCGCUGAGACAAU
Molecule: small RNA, 192 nt
Filed under: Chrysemys picta bellii (western painted turtle)
Lineage: Eukaryota; Metazoa; Chordata; Testudines; Emydidae
Description: TUC338 (ENSCPBG00000022289.1)
Source: RNAcentral